RNAcentral lists this long non-coding RNA (585 nucleotides) under Phoenix dactylifera (date palm). RNAcentral describes it as "long non-coding RNA (PDAC_LNC005911)". The record is from RNAcentral. Lineage: Eukaryota; Viridiplantae; Streptophyta; Magnoliopsida; Arecales; Arecaceae.
GUUCUCUAAAGUCUACGCAGAUAAAACUCUUAUCGUUUUUAUUAAGAGCUAUUGGGGCAGAUGAGUAAUCAGCGGAGUUUUUUUUUCGGGCGCCGCCCACCAUCCAAAAAGUCAAAGAUGGCGUCGGCAUUUACUAAUUUUUCGGACAUCUGUAACAGACUGAGGGGAGGGUGUAACAAUGCCGUCCUCUUUUUCCAGUUUGAGUAGCAAGUGGAAAGCUCGUAAUUCGAGGGUUAGGACUUUACAGUAAAAUGAGAGCCAUUCAGCCAGAGUAGAGUCUCUCGUACUACAGUGCAGGAAGUUAGCUCGGUGCCAUAUUGAUGGUAAGAUCUUUUUUCUAUUUGAUAUGAGAUAGAAGGAAAAACGAACUGGCAAAAAAAAGACACUUAGAGAAUGAGAUUGGAUUUCUAUUCCUAUUUUAUGAAAGUCCUCAAGACUGGAAUUGUCGCAUAUCAGCUGCAAUAAGAGAGAUUAUAGAUAUGUCGCAUAUCAGCUGUUAUAGAGAUAGACAUUCCCGACAACUCAUCUGCGAAAACUGAAUUGAAUGCUCGGGGAAGGAGCGAAGGGAAGAGGAUUUAGCUUUNN